Molecule: non-coding RNA, 299 nt
Organism: Pelobates cultripes (western spadefoot toad)
Lineage: Eukaryota; Metazoa; Chordata; Amphibia; Anura; Pelobatidae
Source: the annotation of a GenBank genome assembly
CUCUAACGUAAUAGUUAACACGCCAAGAGACGUCAACCUAGCCUUCACAGAAUACUAUCACAGACUAUACGACCAUACCCCGCGGGACGAACUAGCACAUGCCCAACUUCUGACACAUAUCAAAGACUUUCUGAUCCACACAGACCUAUCUAGGAUAACACCAGAAGAGGCAGAAGCUCUACAGGAGCCCAUAACACAAGAAGAAGUGGCGGCGGCAAUUACCACGCUACAAGGCACCCGGACCCGACGGCUAUGACAUGUCCUAUUACAAAAAAUGCAAAGACGAAUUAGUAUCCCCC